UGNUUUAUCUCCCCCCAAAACCAAAAUCUGCCCUAACCCUCUUCGAUCUAGCAUAGCCGCCGCACUCCAUUUCGCAUCAGCCACUCACCGACGGGGUUGAUCGGCGACGGGGUUGAUCUCGAGGGUGCUCGUAUUCGGCAUGCGACGGGGUUGAUCGCCAGCCCUCUUCGAUCCCUCUCAGCAACCUUCAUUAUCUUUCGCAGCCCUUUUCGAUCCCUCUUACAUGCGACGGGGUUGAUCUCGAGGGUGCUGGAGGCGUUCGCAGGGGCGAGCGAUCGCGGGAAGCGGCGGGAAGCGAUUCGUGAACCAGAUCUGGGCCUCUCGAAAUCCUCCUCCGAUCGCGGUUUCCGCUGCUGCGUCGGAUUCAAGAGCCCUCUUCGAUCUCACAUGCGACGAGAUCGGCCGGCGGUCCUUCACGCACGGUUGCUGCUAAGAGUGAAGUGAUUAAUUGGGUUCGCAACCUUCUUCACGCACCCUCUUCACGCACGAUUUCUUAGAAAUCCAAGCAUUCAAGCCUCUUCUCUGUAUUCACCUACCACUAAAUAUUGGAGAAGUGAUAGUACGGUCUUUAAGCAUGGCCGCCGCACUCUAUUUCGCAUCAGCCACUCACCGACGGGGCUGAUCGGCAGUCCUUCGCAGCCCUCUUCGAUCCCUCUCACAUGCGACAGGGCUGAUCUCGAGGGUGCUGGAGCCGUUCGCAGGGGCGAGCGAUCGAGGGAAGCUUCGGGAAGCGAUUCGUGAACCAGAUCUGGGCCUCUAAAUCCUCCUCUGAUCGCGGUUUCCGCUGCUGCGUCGGAUUCAAGGUUGUAGAUCAUGGUAGUGCAAAUUGUUCUUCUCCUAACAUUCGGUCAUCAAAUUCAAGUCAUGAGCCACAAACCUUUCUUCAUGGGCGAACCGUUUGAGUGCAACCACCGAAAGACAAGAAUCAUAUUUUGUUUACUUUAGAACUCAAUGAAUUAAAAGACGAGUCACAUUUUGUUUAGUAAAGUACUCGUGAAUUUUUUUUUUAUUGUUUUUUGUUGAAGUUUAGACUAUGAUAUGCGUUUUGUUGCAUCACAAGUGAUUAGCUACUAUGUAUGCUCGGGAUAGUGUUUUGUGUUUUGAUGUGUUACAAAAUGAUUAGCUACUCUGUGAUGGAUAUAUAGCUUUAUAUCUAUAACCUCUAUUAAUCCCCAUAACUUAAAAGCUGACGUGGCAAAGCCACCUUUUUUUUUAAUUUUUUAAUUUUUUUUUAAUUUUUAUGUACUCUCAAUUUCUCAUUUUCUCUCUUGAUCCUUCACCUCCCCUCGACACCUCCCCAACCGGACGUCGCCUCAACUUCCGCUCCCCCUUCCCAACCUGGCGUAACGUCCCCUCGACUACCGCUCCCCCCUCCCAACCUAGCGUUUCCUUAUCUCCACCACGUCUCUUCCCCCCACCUGUGUCCUCUUUACCAUGGUCCUUCUUCUCCCUUCCCUUUCCUCCCUCCCAGAUCUUUUGCCGGCGCGCGCCCUUCUCGCCCCCCUUCCUCACCUCCCUCCGCCACCACCCCCUCUGCCCUUCACCGCUUCGCUUCCCUCUCCUCUCCUCCUUCUGGCUUUGCCACGCCGACUUUUUCUAUCGCGUCGGCUGCGAGAUCUAUGAAAUCACCCUGGAUCGUGUCCCAAUCGGAGGGAUUGAGGGGGGAAAGUGUAUAGGGGCUUGCUUCAUGAGCCUUAGAUCUACGAGGUAAGAGAGUUGGAUGCGACGUUGAAGGGCGUGGAAAUAGGCCGCGAUAUUCCUGGAGAAUUGGUUAGUCUCUUUUUGUUGUUUGAGCAUUGUCUACAGAAGAGUAAUUGGUCAUGUUGUAUAUUCAUUUUAAGUUGUUCAUUUAACUCAUAAUUUUAAGGAAGACAUCAAUAUUUUUCUUCUCAUGGAUGAAUAUUUUCGUUUUAGAUUCAAUCUCAACCAGUGUUGAAUGAAAAUUUUGCACCUGUAAUACCCUGGAUCGUGUCCCAAUCGGAGGGAUUGAGGGGGGGAGGUGUAUAGGGGCUUGCUUCAUGAGCCUCAGAUCUACGAGGUAAGAGAGUUAGAUGUCACGUUGAAGGGCGUGGAAAUAGGCCGCGAUAUCCCUGGAGAAUUGGUUAGUCUCUUUUUGUUGUUUGAGCAUUGUCUAUAGAAGAGUAAUUGGUCAUGUUGUAUAUUCAUUUUAAGUUGUUCACUUAACUCAUAAUUUGAAGGAAGACAUUGAUAUUUUUCUUCUCCUGGAUGAAUAUUUUCGUUUUAGAUUCAAUCUCAACCAGUGUUGAAUGAAAAUUUUGCACAUGUAAUACCCAAAACAUAUGAGAAGAAUCCAAUGUUUCAGAAAAAUUUUAAAAAUAAAAAAUAAUUGUCCCAGUUGUCCGAUUUAAUUUUGUGAGAACUUUUUAAAGUUAGUAGUUUGAACAGCAAGAACUGUAAUAACUCACACUUUAUUCUAUCCAAUAGAAACAUUAUAAAUAUUCAACCAAAAGCAGAUUACAUUAUUAAACAUAAUAGAAUAGAUAUCAUAUAUUAUGCUGUCAAACUGAUAGAAUAGAAGCCGAGCUCUUUGACUUAUUAUCACAAACAAGCCAUCACAAAAACAUACUUUUAUCUUUGUAUAUGCUUUCUCUUGAAAAAUGGCAAUAUACAAACAGUAUGUGCAGGUUUCUCCACUCAAGUUUCUUCUGCUACUGCUCUCCAACUAUUAUCUUGCACCCAGUGUGAGAAAAAUUAUUGUGUCAGAUUUUUAUUUUGCCGUUCAUUUCGUCAAUUAUUAUUUAAUAUGUAAAAUAUUUAGAAUAACAAAAUUUUUCUUAACUACUUAAUCUUUGUAGACCACCAAGGUUGUAUGCCUGAGGUUGAUUAUUUCUCUGUCCAUCCCAAUAAUGGAAGCAUUUCAUUUGUGGGCAAAGUUGCAAAAUGGAAUUCUCUGGAGUAUCUAAUCAGGCUAUCUCAACGGGUUGAAUCCACAGUUAUGAGGAAGUGCUUUCAAUCUAUCACUAACCCAAGAAGUGGCAUUAACUUGAUUCAUAAUGUUGUAUACAAAUGUGGGGUUAGCUUUGACUAACCUUUUCCUUUUAGAAAACAUGUUUACCAAUGUGUUAGUAGGAAGUGCUCAGUUUAUGGAAUAGUGCUUUUGGAUAUUUAAUAAGCAUUUAUAAAUCGUACUUUUUUAAUUGUAGAUCUAAUAUCCAUUUGCUAAAACACUCUGGUUUAUUAAGAUUUUCUUUGUUUUUUCC
This is a long non-coding RNA of Ananas comosus (pineapple), 3221 nucleotides long. RefSeq lists it as uncharacterized. The transcript has 6 exons. NCBI's taxonomy places the organism in Eukaryota, Viridiplantae, Streptophyta, Magnoliopsida, Poales, Bromeliaceae. The record is from RefSeq and is a predicted model, not a curated record.